This is a long non-coding RNA of Brassica oleracea var. oleracea, 1284 nucleotides long. RefSeq lists it as uncharacterized. Lineage: Eukaryota; Viridiplantae; Streptophyta; Magnoliopsida; Brassicales; Brassicaceae. The transcript is spliced from 4 exons. The record is from RefSeq and is a predicted model, not a curated record.
UGAAAAUCAGCCGUUUUGCUGAGACAGUCGAUGUUGGUGUUGAUUGAGUCAUCUUUGUCAUUAGGAACUUUUAGUUAUUGAGCUGCGGGUACAAAGUGUUCAUAUUUAUUAAUGUAGGCUGACCUGCUAGCCGAUCUGGAUAUUUGAGGUUCAAAACUUUUCACAAGCAAAAAAAUCAGUUAUAAGGUCACAAAAGCUAAGACUCACUUUAAUCGUUAAUCUUUGUUGAUGGCUUUUUUUUGGUAUAUUCUUCUUCAAGAUUAUGUUUUUAUAUCCUUUAUUAGUAUAUAUAUAUAUAUAUAUAUAGCUUGGAAUGAGUGGAUUGAUCGUCAUUGGAACUACUGUUACAUGUAGCAAGGAUCUCUGCCUUGGAAUUACUGUUACAAGGUCUAAUAAGAAAAGCAUGCCAUACGUUUAAUUUGUUUCACUCAUCAUCUUUUCUUUCCCAUUUUUUCCAGCUUGUGCUUCUCUUUCUGGCUAUUGUCUCUGUUCCGUGUAUGUUGCUUUCAAAGCAGUUCAUCUUGAAGAAACAACAUGAAGCUAUCCAGAAGCAACAAGGUCAGUCUUAUGCACCUCUUGAGGAGACGGAUGAGAGUAUUCAUGUAUCGACAAGCGGAGGAUCACAUGGGCACGGGAGUUUGAAUUCAGCGACAUCUUUGUGCAUCAGUUUUUUCACACCAUAGAAUUUUUUGCUUAGAGCUGUUUCCAACACCUCUUCUUACCUGCGUAUAUGGGCUCUCAGUCUUGCACACUCGGAGAUAUCGUCAGUCUUCUAUGAGACUAUGAGAAGGUCCUCCUUCUCGCUUGGAAUACAACAAUGUGUUGAUCCUGAUCGUUGGGAUCAUUGUUUUCAUAUUGUGGGAUUGCUGCUGGUGAUAGAGACACAGAGCACGUUCCUUCACGCACUGCGUCUCCACUUGGUGAAGUUUCAGAACAAAUUCUACGAAGGAGAUAGUUCCAAGUUCGCUCCUUUCUCUUUCAUUCUCACUGGAAACGAAGACGACUGAUAGGGAUGAAUGAUUGUUCCACUCCCCUCCCAUUCUCUGCAAAAUUUGCUUAUAUAAAAAAGGAACAAGACAAACCAAGUUUUAUUUAUUUUUUGCCAAUAUAUUUUUCCCCUUCCACAUUCAGGGUGGGUGGAAUAAAAUAUGUUUAUUUUGUUUGCCUGUCUGGAGAUUAGAUUUUUUAAACAACAGUGGAGAAGGGGCUAAUGGAAUUUGUAUGAGGCAAAACUCAUUUGUUGAUGUGUUUGUUUGGAGUUAAAUACGUGAGGAUUUGUUUCCA